UGACUGAAUCGGACGGUCGCGUAGCCAAGCCGAAAGGCUGUCUAUGAGGAAAGUCCGGGCUCCAUAUGGCAAGGAUAACAGAUAACGUCUGCCGAAGGCGACUUCAGGGAAAGUGCAACAGAAAUAAACCGCCGACUUUGUCGGUAAGGAUGGAAAGGCGAGGUAAGAGCUCACCGGCGUGGCGGAGACGUCGCGGCCAUGUAAACCCUAUCCGGAGCAACACCGCAAGAGACGAGAUUUUCUCAUAUCAGCCUGAUAAUGUCUCGAAGGUGGCAUGAGGCGUCGGGCAACCGACGUCCAAGAUAGAUGACCGUACAAGGAACUUUGUUCCAGGACAAAACCCGGCUUAUAGAUUCAGUCGUAUU
This 365-nucleotide RNase P RNA is filed under the name Oscillospiraceae bacterium. Its description in RNAcentral is "RNase P RNA component class A". It matches the Rfam family "Bacterial RNase P class A". Rfam says of the family: Ribonuclease P (RNase P) is a ubiquitous endoribonuclease, found in archaea, bacteria and eukarya as well as chloroplasts and mitochondria. Lineage: Bacteria; Bacillati; Bacillota; Clostridia; Eubacteriales; Oscillospiraceae. The record is from RNAcentral.